GCAGAGUAGGAAUAUGUGCGUUAAGUGCCGUGCGGACGGGGAGUUGCCGCAUGGACGAAGGAACGCCGCAGAUGGCGCCCCGCGGUAUAUGUUCCGCAUCCCGCUGC
RNAcentral lists this non-coding RNA (107 nucleotides) under uncultured Massilistercora sp. Its description in RNAcentral is "THF riboswitch". It matches the Rfam family "THF (Tetrahydrofolate) riboswitch aptamer". From Rfam's summary of the family: THF riboswitch presents a pseudoknot that joins P1-P2 and the loop of P3 and two THF binding. Lineage: Bacteria; Bacillati; Bacillota; Clostridia; Eubacteriales. The record is from RNAcentral.